GACGAACGCUGGCGGCGUGCCUAAUACAUGCAAGUAGAACGCUGAAGAGAGGAGCUUGCUCUUCUUGGAUGAGUUGCGAACGGGUGAGUAACGCGUAGGUAACCUGCCCUGUAGCGGGGGAUAACUAUUGGAAACGAUAGCUAAUACCGCAUAACAAUGGAUGACACAUGUCAUUUAUUUGAAAGGGGCAAUUGCUCCACUACAAGAUGGACCUGCGUUGUAUUAGCUAGUAGGUGAGGUAACGGCUCACCUAGGCGACGAUACAUAGCCGACCUGAGAGGGUGAUCGGCCACACUGGGACUGAGACACGGCCCAGACUCCUACGGGAGGCAGCAGUAGGGAAUCUUCGGCAAUGGGGGCAACCCUGACCGAGCAACGCCGCGUGAGUGAAGAAGGUUUUCGGAUCGUAAAGCUCUGUUGUAAGUCAAGAACGAGUGUGAGAGUGGAAAGUUCACACUGUGACGGUAGCUUACCAGAAAGGGACGGCUAACUACGUGCCAGCAGCCGCGGUAAUACGUAGGUCCCGAGCGUUGUCCGGAUUUAUUGGGCGUAAAGCGAGCGCAGGCGGUUUGAUAAGUCUGAAGUUAAAGGCUGUGGCUCAACCAUAGUUCGCUUUGGAAACUGUCAAACUUGAGUGCAGAAGGGGAGAGUGGAAUUCCAUGUGUAGCGGUGAAAUGCGUAGAUAUAUGGAGGAACACCGGUGGCGAAAGCGGCUCUCUGGUCUGUAACUGACGCUGAGGCUCGAAAGCGUGGGGAGCGAACAGGAUUAGAUACCCUGGUAGUCCACGCCGUAAACGAUGAGUGCUAGGUGUUGGAUCCUUUCCGGGAUUCAGUGCCGCAGCUAACGCAUUAAGCACUCCGCCUGGGGAGUACGACCGCAAGGUUGAAACUCAAAGGAAUUGACGGGGGCCCGCACAAGCGGUGGAGCAUGUGGUUUAAUUCGAAGCAACGCGAAGAACCUUACCAGGUCUUGACAUCCCGAUGCUAUUUCUAGAGAUAGAAAGUUACUUCGGUACAUCGGUGACAGGUGGUGCAUGGUUGUCGUCAGCUCGUGUCGUGAGAUGUUGGGUUAAGUCCCGCAACGAGCGCAACCCCUAUUGUUAGUUGCCAUCAUUCAGUUGAGCACUCUAGCGAGACUGCCGGUAAUAAACCGGAGGAAGGUGGGGAUGACGUCAAAUCAUCAUGCCCCUUAUGACCUGGGCUACACACGUGCUACAAUGGUUGGUACAACGAGUUGCGAGUCGGUGACGGCAAGCUAAUCUCUUAAAGCCAAUCUCAGUUCGGAUUGUAGGCUGCAACUCGCCUACAUGAAGUCGGAAUCGCUAGUAAUCGCGGAUCAGCACGCCGCGGUGAAUACGUUCCCGGGCCUUGUACACACCGCCCGUCACACCACGAGAGUUUGUAACACCCGAAGUCGGUGAGGUAACCUUUUGGAGCCAGCCGCCUAAGGUGGGAUAGAUGAUUGGGGUG
This 1470-nucleotide ribosomal RNA is filed under the name Streptococcus salivarius. RNAcentral's name for it is "bacterial SSU rRNA". It matches the Rfam family "Bacterial small subunit ribosomal RNA". The record is from RNAcentral. Lineage: Bacteria; Bacillati; Bacillota; Bacilli; Lactobacillales; Streptococcaceae.